Lolium rigidum is the source of this 509-nucleotide long non-coding RNA. RefSeq lists it as uncharacterized. The record is from RefSeq and is a predicted model, not a curated record. The transcript is spliced from 3 exons. NCBI's taxonomy places the organism in Eukaryota, Viridiplantae, Streptophyta, Magnoliopsida, Poales, Poaceae.
AAUGACAUCAACGCCGACCUCCCUAAGCUCCUGGUGGUGGUCUUCCGGGAGCAAAAGUAGGUGUCUUCCGGGAGAAGGUGGAGGGACAACUGGACCGUGAUGCUUGUUUAGUUCAAGCCUUCCAACAGGGUUUGGCUCUCCGAUGUAGUCCUUGAUGAUGCACCUGAAACUCUCUACGUCGCCUGUGUCGCAGAAGGCAUGUCUUGCUGGGGGUAGAUUUAUGCAUAUAGAAGAGAGGUACUCAUAAGAUGGUGGAGGAGGCAAGCUACAUAUAGAAGAGAGGUACUCAUAAGAAUCAUCAUAUUGACUCUCAGCUUAAGUUAAGACAGCAUGGAUAUCAUUCUCAAGUUGCUGUUUCAAUACAAGUUACAUCCUUUUAUGUGUGGAUUUCCUUGAUAGCUUACACCCCCAUUUUUGACAAAGAAAAGUCUCAAGAGCAUUCAGAAAAGUUAUCUCGAGUGUUGCUGUCCUCAAGAUUUGUUAGUUUUGAAGUAUGGUUCAACUGUCAA